Molecule: transfer RNA, 67 nt
Filed under: Marmota monax (woodchuck)
Lineage: Eukaryota; Metazoa; Chordata; Mammalia; Rodentia; Sciuridae
Description: tRNA.Ala
Source: RNAcentral
GGUUGUGGCUCAGUGGUAGAGCACUUGCCUAGCACAGAUGAGGCACUGGGUUUAAUCCUCAGCACCA